UCAUUCUAUGUUGCGACAUUCUUCCGUAGUCUAUGGCAGUGCUUGAAUUGAUCACUGUCGAAACGAGAUUCGGGAAUCUCAGAGGCCCCGCCUAUAAAGUAUUCUGUAAAUAUUACUGAAACGGCUCAUUCGCGAUGUUUUUAUAAAAUAUAAGUUUUAGAUCCACAAGCAGUACAACAUUGCAAAAAUGGAUGCAAAAGUGUUAUGUAUCUUCGUUUUAAUUUCUCAAGCGGCGGCCCUCCUGACGUCACCACCACGGAUAGUCAAGCAACCGACGGUGGAAGAACUGCUGUUCCAAGUGGCACAACCCGGAGAAGUUGACAAACCCUUUAUAAUAGAAUGUGAAGCUGAAGGAGAGCCGGCGCCUAAGUACAGAUGGAUUAAAAACGGAAAAUCAUUCGAAUAUACGAGUUACGACAAUCGAAUCUCACAGCAACCUGGCCGUGGUACUCUGGUGGUCAGUAGACCAAGAGAUGAAGACCUCGGGCAGUAUCAAUGCUUUGCAUACAACGAGUGGGGAACAGCCACAUCGAACUCCGUAUUUGUACGGAAAGCCGAGCUCAAUUCUUUCAAAGAUACAGAUGGACCGCAGACAAUGAUCACAGCCCAAGAGGGGUUGCCCUUUAAACUGACCUGUAACCCUCCCGAUGGUCACCCCAGCCCAAACGUAUACUGGAUGUUGCAAGGUGAACAAGGUCAGCUCAAAACCAUAAACAACUCCAGAAUGACACUAGAUCCAGAAGGCAAUCUUUGGUUCUCUAACGUCACUCGAUACGAUGCUAGCGUCGAUUACGCGUAUACCUGCGCAGCUAAAUCUGUCUUCAGAAACGAGUACAAACUAGGUAAUAAAGUAUAUCUUCAAGUGCAGCAAACGGGAAUAUCUCCUACCCAGAACAAGCAUGAACCAGUCAGACAGUACACUACCAGGAGAGUUGAAAAGGCAUGGCGAGGCAAAAAAGUUGAACUCUACUGCAUUUAUGGCGGAACGCCACUGCCGCAAGUGGUAUGGAAGAAAGACGGUCGAACAAUACUAUCGUCACAGCGAAUAACGCAAGAUAACUACGGCAAGACAUUAGUGAUAAAACGUGCUGGGUAUGAAGACCAAGGAACCUUCACGUGUGAAAUUAGCAACGGAGUUGGUCAAGCGCAAUCUUACUCUAUACAGCUUAAUGUUGAAGCCGCGCCAUUCUUCAUCGAGGAACCGCAGUUCCAAAACUUGGCCGAAGGUGAGACAGCAGUCAUCCACUGUAAGGCAGGCGGUACCCCAGAGCCUUCGAUCACAUGGGUCCACAACGGAAAGCCUAUAGAGCAAGCGGAGCCCAACUCCAGACGUCAAGUGGCAUCAAAUUCGAUUCUCAUCACGGACUUGGUGAAGAAAGACACAGGCAACUACGGUUGUAACGCCACUAACUCGAACGGCUACGUGUACAAGGAUGUAUACAUUAAUGUUCAAUCCAUACCACCGGAGAUCAAGGAAGGCCCAGAGAACUUGACCAAAGUCGAUGGUUCAGAAGCGGUGCUGAAGUGCCGUGUGUUUGGAGCACCCAAACCCAUUGUCAGGUGGAUGAGAGAUGACGUCGAUGUUACUGGUGGAAAAUACAACAUAACAGCGGAAGGUGAUUUGGUAAUCGCUGACGUAUCGUACACCGAUGUGGGCACCUACCAAUGUUAUGCUAAAAACAAGUUUGGCGAGAAAUCUGCUUUCGGUUCCUUGUCUGUCAAGAAGCACACGGUAAUAACGGACAAACCUGAGCCGUAUGAAGUUGCAGCGGGUGCUUCAGCUACAUUCAGGUGUAAUGCGAAUGCGGACGAUUCCCUAAAACUAGAAAUUAUAUGGCUCAAUGACGGACAGCCAAUUGACUUUGACAACCAGCCGCGGUUUAGAAUGACAAAUGACUACUCGCUGCUAAUAUCCGACACAACGGAGCUCGAUUCCGGCGAAUAUACAUGUAUUGCGAGAACAGCUAUAGAUGAAGCGAGGGCUCAGGCUACUUUAACUGUUCAAGACAAACCCAAUCCACCAUCCUUGGAAGGCAUCGAGUGUCACGAGAAAGUCGCAACCAUACGCUGGCAUUCAAUGGGUGACAAUCGGGCCCCUAUUCUCCGUUACUCGAUACAAUAUAACACCUCCUUUACACCCGAUACAUGGCUUUCGGCGUCCGAUUCUGUUCCCGGGUUAGAUACGUCCUGGACUGCGGAACUGAGCCCCUGGGCGAACUAUACAUUCCGGGUCAUAGCUUUGAAUAAGAUUGGACCGUCUACGCCGUCGAGACACUCGGAUGCCUGUACCACACAGCCGGAUGUACCGUAUAAGAACCCGGAUAAUGUUGAGGGUAAAGGACGGGAUCCUACUAAUAUGGUCAUAUCUUGGUCGAAAAUGCCUCAAAUCGAGCACAACGGCCCCGGUUUCUACUACCAAGUGUCAUGGCGACGUAACAUCAGCGGAACGCCUUGGAGCGAACAGCAAAUACGCGAUUGGACUCAGUCGGAGUAUAUUGUCCUUAACACGCCAACAUUCCAGCCUUAUAAAAUUAAGGUGAUAGCAGUAAAUUCAAAGGGAACAUCAAACGUGGCUCCUGUGGAAGUAAUCGGCUGGUCUGGUGAGGACACGCCCCUACAAUCUCCCGCUAACUUCUCUCUAGUGCAGGUCACUACAGGAACUACUGCAUUGUUAAGCUGGAACCCAGUAUCAGCUGAAACUGUACGCGGACACUUCAAGGGGUACAAGAUUCAGACUUGGGUUGACGGUGAAGAAGACAGGUUAAAGGAAGUGCUCGUGAAGUCCGAUGCGUCCAGUGCUCUUAUAACCGCGUUCAAACCGUUCAAGAAAAACAACGCACGAAUUCUCGUCUACAAUGGACGCUUCAAUGGACCACCUAGCGAAAUCCUCUCCUUCGUUACCCCAGAGGGAAAACCAGGAACAGUCAAAUCCUUCGCAGCCUACCCCAUCGGUUCCUCAGCUAUGCUCCUCAAGUGGGACAAACCCAUGGACGAAAAUGGAAUUUUAACCGGCUACAAAAUUUACUACCAAAAAGUCACCGGCACAGCCCUAGGUCCACUUCAAGAGAGGAAGAAGGAAAUCGACCCCAAACUGGAUCGUGCCAAACUAGCUGGACUAGAACCCAACACCAAGUACCGUAUUGAAAUACGGGCUAAGACCAAGGCUGGGGAAGGAGACAAAUACUACGUGGAACAGACCACAAAAGCGAUGGUGAAUGCCGUUCCGGAUAUACCCUUAUUCGAAGCGAGUACCCUCCCAGCUAAAGAGGGGUCAGCUCAUAUUCUGGUUCGCUGGUUGCCUUCCUUAGACGGUCACGCCGGAAGCCAUUUUAUAGCCUGGUACCGGCUCAAGGGUCAUCCUAAUUGGUUGAGAAGUAAUGAAAUAACUGAAGACGAUUAUGUCGUGCUAACUGGCCUCGAGCCCGGACAAGUGUAUGAGGUGAAAGUGACAGCUCAUGACGGAGAAUACUUCAGCACCAGUGAAGUAAUGGAUGUUGAUACGACAACCGGUAAGUUAUAUCCAGUAAUCAUGCGGGAAGAGGCGAUGGCCACGGCUGGAUGGUUCAUCGGGGUUAUGGUGGCGUUGGCUUUCUUAGUUCUCGUGCUGGUAGCGGUGUGCGUUGCGCGUCGUAACCGAGGCGGGAAGUACGACGUGCACGAUCGCGAACUCGCUCACGGACGGGCGGAUUAUCCAGACGCCGCUUUCCAUGAAUAUAAUCAUCCAUUGGACAGCAAGUCCCGACACUCUAUGAGUAGUGGUCCCAAGCCAGGUGUCGAGAGCGACACUGACUCGAUGGCCGAGUAUGGCGAGGGAGAAACGGCUGGUAUGAACGAAGACGGUUCAUUCAUCGGUCAGUACGGUAGAAAGAGGCGCCCCCCUGCGGCUUCUCACCAAGACUCCGCUUCGCAGGCCUUCGCCACGCUCGUCUAGGCACAUUGUCUAUCCCUUUGACUCCUUUCACUUCACUAUCCCUGUGGCCUGUUUAACCUGUCCCAACUGUUUAACCACUCAUGACAUAACCCAGAUCUGAAUACAAAAUCACAGCAUCUAAUGCAAAUAAUUAAGGCCCAAGGCUUUCCAUUCCAUAUUGGAAUACAAAAAAUAUUGUUCUCUAAAGAUCGCCCGCCGAAAUUCUACUGUCCAUUUCUUUAUUGGUUGUGUAUGAAUCUCGAAUGAUAAUGUAAUAAAAUAUGGUAUGCUAUACCAUAUUUUAUUAAAUUAUCUCACUCGUUAUAGGGCGCAGUCUUUCAACUAUUUAAAAAAUAGUUAUCUAAGACUCAACGCGUCCUUUAUGUUUAGUUUAAUGCUACUUAGAUUAUUAUUAAGUACACAUUUAAAUGUAGUCUGUAAAAAAGAUUUUAAGUAUAUUUUGAGUGAUCAGUGAAUGUUUUUUUUUUUAGUUUUUUUUAUAGCACGAGCUUGUGUUGUUUUUAUCGUUUUGCAUUUAUUGUUAGAAUAGAUAGAUAGACGUGUCCAGUUUUCCGUCCUUUUCCCUUCCUUUCCUCGUCGGCGUAUGAGCAGCUAUUUCAUUUAUUUAUUUUUUGUGAGGUCGUUUCACGGAGGACGGCUCGUUCAUCGGUCAGUACGUGCCUGGCGCACGAGUUCUGCCUCCACCGCCCGCGCCGCAAACAGCUCCAGCGCAACAACCGCCCACUUACGUCUAAUACUGUCAAUUUCACAAAUCACUGUUAUUUUUCACAGUUCCUCAGUAUGGCCUGCUCUUCACACCAUAAUUUUUAACCGGUCAACGUGUAAUCCGUGUUAGCUUCGAAGCGAAAUCACUGAUAUUUUCCUUUGCUUAAAAUCUGCUAUUUAUCACAACAGCGAAAUCGCUGUUAGUAUUAACAAGUCUUGCCUUUCAGAUCUGUAUUACCGUCAAUGCUUGAAACUUUUGAUAAGCUAGUGAAAAUAUCAGUGAUUUUGUAACCAAUGGAAUUAAUAUUGUUCCUAUACUGUCACAAUUUCUUCAUGGUAUUUUUCGUUUAAGGGUCCAAGUAUUACGUAACGCAAUUUUUCGACCCCGUCUCCACCAAUCAACGCGCCGUAACGGUUUUCUAAGCCCAAUAUUAAAACGUUCUGUGACCACCCAGUGACCAUUUUACCUAAGAGUCAUAUCUGGUCAUGUUGCUAAAAUACUUUUGUUAUUGUUUUGAUUGCAUUAAAAACAAUGUACGUAACAUUGUUACAAAUAUUAUUAACACUUAAGGUAACAAGUACACAAAUACACAAAUCAACUCGGAAUGGGAUCGUCACCAUAUCGCCUCGCCGUCAACGUACGCACGUACGCAACGUAUCAGUAGCUCCUGUACGUCAACUCGACUACGGCUAGGCAACACCGCGCUUACGGCUUGCCGACCUGCUUGGCACCAGUUCAGUUUGAUGGCUAUCAUAGCCAUAGACCUUGCUGAAGAGGAUGGGGACAGGGGCAACGGUGGACAAAGAGACAUGAGUUCGGGUACGGAGAGAACUGCAAGUUGACCCGCAUUGCGGUUCGGAGUCUGUUCUAAGGCGGGGCGAUUCCGUUACGAUUCCGAUUAGUUUGCGUUGCAGUAGCGAAUUCUAUAUAGAAAAUACUGAACAAGGUGAUAUGGUGUCAAACCAAUCGCGUAAUUUAAUUUCCGUAUCGCAUGACGAGACCCAAAAUUCGUAACGUAAUACUUGAACGCUCCCUAAUAAUAUAUUUAAAAUUGUGUAGCUAAUUUUACUUAAAUUGACAUUUUAGUUGAAAUUUAUUGAUAUGGGCCUUAUUAGUAGGCUCUGUUUACCGCAGGUACAAUAGUGAAAAUUAGAAACCAACAUAGAUUUGUUUUAUGAGACUGAUUUUAAGUAAAAAAAAAUUGUUUCCUCUUUUGAGUCCCUGGCAUUUCAUACGAUUUAAUAUGUAGGUUAAGAUCUGGCUCGAUAUCAAUUAAAUAGGAUGGUAAAGCGAGAAAUAAAGUAUCCGGUAGCGAAGCGAAGGUUAAACAAAGGUUUAAAAUAUAUCAAUGAUUUUAAGUGACUACAAUAUCAUCCACAUAGUAAAAAAUUUAAAUCGCCGUCGCUUCGCUACAGGCUGAUAAAGCUAUUUUUGUGACAUGAUAAAGAAUGUAAAUUUUUAGCUCUGAGUGCCGGCGGUCAGACUUGCUUCAUGACGUCAGAGUCAAUUUAUCGUAAAAUCAACGAAUUAUUUUUAUAUGAAAAUCAUAUCGGAAGGACCAUUACGCAGAUUAUUUUGUAUCCCGCUUUUAAAUUAUAUUCUAUACUCCAAUAUGCGUAGCAAAGUUAUAUCUAAAGAUUAAACAUAAUUAAAAAUAGUGCCAUCUAGCUGUGAAAUAAAACUGAAUGUGAAUUUAUUCACAACGUGGUGUGUGGAGUCUUUUUACACCAAAGGGAAAUUACGGAAAUUUUUGCUCAUUUUUUUAAACAAUAGCGCAAUCGUUUUAAAACAUAUGCAAUAUAACUUAUGUUAUGAUAUCAAGUUAUGAUAUCAUCCUAUUUGUUGGAAUUUUUAAUCGAAAAUUUAUUAAAAGAAGAUUUUAAGCUUAAUGAGGGUAAAACACUUUUGAAUAAAGAAUAAAAAUUACCUUAUUUU
Pieris brassicae (large cabbage white) is the source of this 6572-nucleotide RNA transcript. It is a transcript of the gene named neuroglian, with no coding region annotated. The record is from RefSeq and is a predicted model, not a curated record. The transcript has 17 exons. NCBI's taxonomy places the organism in Eukaryota, Metazoa, Arthropoda, Insecta, Lepidoptera, Pieridae.